Molecule: long non-coding RNA, 767 nt
Organism: Lutra lutra (Eurasian river otter)
Lineage: Eukaryota; Metazoa; Chordata; Mammalia; Carnivora; Mustelidae
Exons: 4
Source: RefSeq, a predicted model, not a curated record
UCUCCCAGCUGCGCCAGAGAGGGCGCGGUCUGGAGCGCCUCGCCAACAUCCCGCAGCCGCCGCCCGCAGCCUGGCCUCGCUCGGGCUCUCGCGAGAGGAAGUAUAAUCUCGGCGUGGUUGGAGAGAGCGGCCUGGCUGGAGCCUGGGGAAACGUCGCGGAACCUCAAAGGUCUACCCGGCGAGCGCAGCGUGGAGUCUCCUGCCUCAGCUCCCGGCGUCAGUUAGACCAUCUGCCUGCCGCGUCGCGGACAGCCUCCUGGAAAAGGCGGAGUGGCCUGGCCGGGGAGGGGCAGGGCUCCCCUUUGCUUCCCCGGAACUGUCAGUACUUCGUAACGCAUAAUCAGGAAGCUGAAGCUGCUAUGGAAAGAAUGGAUUAGAAGACCAGUACAGAAGCAGGGAGACCAGAAGAGAGACUGCUACAAUGAGCCAGAUGAGAAAUUGUGCUGGCCUGAGCUAAGAGUCAUGGCAGUGGGUAUGCAGAAAUGGCUUUGAACACAAGGUAUAUUUUGGAAGAAGUACCAACAAGACUACUUCACUCAUGUUGAAGUCUUGUGUAAGGUGUUGUGGUUACCAAGGUGGAGGCCCCUCAUCUGGUAGAGAAGGCAGACAUGAACAUGUGUGAAGGCCAUGUGCAGUGGGGUCAGUGCUGUGACAGAGCUGAGCCUUUGGAUGAGACCGUGACCCCAGCUACAAGUUGACCACAACCUUACAGAAGACCUUCAGUCAGAAGCUCCCAGCUAAGCCAUGCCUGGAUUCCUGACCCACAG